CCUACGGGGGGCAGCAGUGGGGAAUAUUGGACAAUGGGGGGAACCCUGAUCCAGCCAUGCCGCGUGUGUGAAGAAGGCCCUCGGGUUGUAAAGCACUUUCAGUGAGGAAGAACGCCUGGUGGUUAAUACCCAUCAGGAAAGACAUCACUCACAGAAGAAGCACCGGCUAACUCCGUGCCAGCAGCCGCGGUAAUACGGAGGGUGCGAGCGUUAAUCGGAAUUACUGGGCGUAAAGCGCGCGUAGGUGGCUUGAUAAGCCGGUUGUGAAAGCCCCGGGCUCAACCUGGGAACGGCAUCCGGAACUGUCAAGCUAGAGUGCAGGAGAGGAAGGUGGAAUUCCCGGUGUAGCGGUGAAAUGCGUAGAGAUCGGGAGGAAUACCAGUGGCGAAGGCGGCCUUCUGGACUGACACUGACACUGAGGUGCGAAAGCGUGGGUAGCAAACAGGAUUAGAUACCCUGGUAGUC
Molecule: ribosomal RNA, 465 nt
Filed under: Vreelandella stevensii
Lineage: Bacteria; Pseudomonadati; Pseudomonadota; Gammaproteobacteria; Oceanospirillales; Halomonadaceae
Description: partial 16S ribosomal RNA
Rfam family: Bacterial small subunit ribosomal RNA
Source: RNAcentral